AGGCAUUCAGUGGGUUACUUAGUGGGUUGUCGAACCGGCAACAACAACAACAACAACCUAAACAAGGAAGAAAAUGAGACCAUGGUUUCCCGAAACAGAAGUAAAAUCUGAAUACAAAUAAACUGUUUUCUUUUUCUUGAUGUGAAUUAAAUAAAAUGUAUUUUCUUGCAAA
Long non-coding RNA from Centruroides sculpturatus (bark scorpion), 172 nucleotides. RefSeq lists it as uncharacterized. The record is from RefSeq and is a predicted model, not a curated record. NCBI's taxonomy places the organism in Eukaryota, Metazoa, Arthropoda, Arachnida, Scorpiones, Buthidae. The transcript has 5 exons.